Molecule: ribosomal RNA, 1377 nt
Filed under: Staphylococcus aureus
Lineage: Bacteria; Bacillati; Bacillota; Bacilli; Caryophanales; Staphylococcaceae
Description: partial 23S ribosomal RNA
Rfam family: Bacterial large subunit ribosomal RNA
Source: RNAcentral
GAUUAAGUUAUUAAGGGCGCACGGUGGAUGCCUUGGCACUAGAAGCCGAUGAAGGACGUUACUAACGACGAUAUGCUUUGGGGAGCUGUAAGUAAGCUUUGAUCCAGAGAUUUCCGAAUGGGGAAACCCAGCAUGAGUUAUGUCAUGUUAUCGAUAUGUGAAUACAUAGCAUAUCAGAAGGCACACCCGGAGAACUGAAACAUCUUAGUACCCGGAGGAAGAGAAAGAAAAUUCGAUUCCCUUAGUAGCGGCGAGCGAAAUGGGAAGAGCCCAAACCAACAAGCUUGCUUGUUGGGGUUGUAGGACACUCUAUACGGAGUUACAAAGGACGACAUUAGACGAAUCAUCUGGAAAGAUGAAUCAAAGAAGGUAAUAAUCCUGUAGUCGAAAAUGUUGUCUCUCUUGAGUGGAUCCUGAGUACGACGGAGCACGUGAAAUUCCGUCGGAAUCUGGGAGGACCAUCUCCUAAGGCUAAAUACUCUCUAGUGACCGAUAGUGAACCAGUACCGUGAGGGAAAGGUGAAAAGCACCCCGGAAGGGGAGUGAAAUAGAACCUGAAACCGUGUGCUUACAAGUAGUCAGAGCCCGUUAAUGGGUGAUGGCGUGCCUUUUGUAGAAUGAACCGGCGAGUUACGAUUUGAUGCAAGGUUAAGCAGUAAAUGUGGAGCCGUAGCGAAAGCGAGUCUGAAUAGGGCGUUUAGUAUUUGGUCGUAGACCCGAAACCAGGUGAUCUACCCUUGGUCAGGUUGAAGUUCAGGUAACACUGAAUGGAGGACCGAACCGACUUACGUUGAAAAGUGAGCGGAUGAACUGAGGGUAGCGGAGAAAUUCCAAUCGAACCUGGAGAUAGCUGGUUCUCUCCGAAAUAGCUUUAGGGCUAGCCUCAAGUGAUGAUUAUUGGAGGUAGAGCACUGUUUGGACGAGGGGCCCCUCUCGGGUUACCGAAUUCAGACAAACUCCGAAUGCCAAUUAAUUUAACUUGGGAGUCAGAACAUGGGUGAUAAGGUCCGUGUUCGAAAGGGAAACAGCCCAGACCACCAGCUAAGGUCCCAAAAUAUAUGUUAAGUGGAAAAGGAUGUGGCGUUGCCCAGACAACUAGGAUGUUGGCUUAGAAGCAGCCAUCAUUUAAAGAGUGCGUAAUAGCUCACUAGUCGAGUGACACUGCGCCGAAAAUGUACCGGGGCUAAACAUAUUACCGAAGCUGUGGAUUGUCCUUUGGACAAUGGUAGGAGAGCGUUCUAAGGGCGUUGAAGCAUGAUCGUAAGGACAUGUGGAGCGCUUAGAAGUGAGAAUGCCGGUGUGAGUAGCGAAAGACGGGUGAGAAUCCCGUCCACCGAUUGACUAAGGUUUCCAGAGGAAGGCUCGUCCGCUCUGGGU